GUCUUUUAGAAUAUAAUUUAAAGUCUAACCUGCCCACUGAAUUUAUUUGAAGGGCCGCGGUAUUUUGACUGUGCAAAGGUAGCAUAAUCAUUAGUCUUUUAAUUGGAGGCUUGUAUGAAUGGUUGGAUGAAACAUUAACUGUCUCAAUUUAAUAAAAAUAGAAUUUAAUUUUUAAGUUAAAAAGCUUAAAUAUAAUUAGAGGACGAGAAGACCCUAUAGAUCUUUAUAUUUAAUUAUUUAUUAUUAAUAUAGAAUAUUAAGUUAUAUUAAUUAAUUAAUUAUUUUAUUGGGGUGAUAAAUAAAUUUGAUAAACUUUAUUUUAUAUAAACAUUUAUUUAUGAAUAUUUGAUCCAUUAUUAGUGAUUAAAAGAUUAAGUUACCUUAGGGAUAACAGCGUAAUUUUUUUAGAGAGUUCUUAUCGAUAAAAAAGUUUGCGACCUCGAUGUUGAAUUAAAGGUUAAUUUUAGGUGCAGAAGUUUAAAGUUUUGGUCUGUUCGACCAUUAAAUC
RNAcentral lists this ribosomal RNA (508 nucleotides) under Protohermes subnubilus. RNAcentral's name for it is "partial 16S ribosomal RNA". It matches the Rfam family "Bacterial large subunit ribosomal RNA", at positions 1828 to 2594 of the family's 2925-position model. The record is from RNAcentral. Lineage: Eukaryota; Metazoa; Arthropoda; Insecta; Megaloptera; Corydalidae.